Non-coding RNA from Podarcis lilfordi (Lilford's wall lizard), 72 nucleotides. NCBI's taxonomy places the organism in Eukaryota, Metazoa, Chordata, Lepidosauria, Squamata, Lacertidae. The record is from the annotation of a GenBank genome assembly.
GGAGCUGUUGCUCAGUAGCAGAGCAUCUGCUUUGCAUGCAGAAGGUCCCGGGUGCAAACCCCGCCGUCUCCA